This 478-nucleotide ribosomal RNA is filed under the name uncultured bacterium. Its description in RNAcentral is "partial 16S ribosomal RNA". It matches the Rfam family "Bacterial small subunit ribosomal RNA", at positions 28 to 507 of the family's 1533-position model. The record is from RNAcentral.
GAUGAACGCUGGCGGCGUGCUUAACACAUGCAAGUCGAACGAGAAGUGAAGACGGAACCCUUCGGGCGGAAGGCUUUAUUUCGAGUGGCGGACGGGUGAGUAACGCGUGGGUAACCUGCCUCAUACAGGGGGAUAACAGUUUGAAACGACUGUUAAUACCGCAUAAGACCACAGCACCGCAUGGUGCGGGGGUAAAAACUCCGGUGGUAUGAGAUGGACCCGCGUUCGAUUAGCCAGUUGGCGGGGUAACGGCCCACCAAAGCGACGAUCGAUAGCCGAUCUGAGAGGAUGACCAGCCACAUUGGGACUGAGACACGGCCCAAACUCCUACGGGAGGCAGCAGUGGGGAAUAUUGCACAAUGGGGGAAACCCUGAUGCAGCGACGCCGCGUGAGUGAAGAAGUAUUUCGGUAUGUAAAGCUCUAUCAGCAGGGAAGAAAAUGACGGUACCUGAGUAAGAAGCCCCGGCUAACUACGUG